Molecule: ribosomal RNA, 338 nt
Filed under: Escherichia coli
Lineage: Bacteria; Pseudomonadati; Pseudomonadota; Gammaproteobacteria; Enterobacterales; Enterobacteriaceae
Description: partial 23S ribosomal RNA
Rfam family: Bacterial large subunit ribosomal RNA
Source: RNAcentral
GUGUGACUGCGUACCUUUUGUAUAAUGGGUCAGCGACUUAUAUUCUGUAGCAAGGUUAACCGAAUAGGGGAGCCGAAGGGAAACCGAGUCUUAACUGGGCGUUAAGUUGCAGGGUAUAGACCCGAAACCCGGUGAUCUAGCCAUGGGCAGGUUGAAGGUUGGGUAACACUAACUGGAGGACCGAACCGACUAAUGUUGAAAAAUUAGCGGAUGACUUGUGGCUGGGGGUGAAAGGCCAAUCAAACCGGGAGAUAGCUGGUUCUCCCCGAAAGCUAUUUAGGUAGCGCCUCGUGAAUUCAUCUCCGGGGGUAGAGCACUGUUUCGGCAAGGGGGUCAUC